ACUGGAAGUAGGCAUAGAGGCUACUACCUUAAGAACUAUAAGUUUUAGGUGCCCUUGUGGGCUCCUGGUUUAAAAUUUUAGUCGCCUGUGAGCAAAUCGUAGAGCCUCUGGCAACUGGGAGCCCAUUAGGCUGCAGCCUUGGAUAUUUUGCUAUUUGUUAAUGUCAAAUAAACAUGGUGCGCAUGAUAUGGAUUUUUUUUUUCGCCUUUUUGAAUUUUCACUCUCUCUUAAUGCCAUGAUUUUAGGAAUGAUAUUAUUCAAAGCAUUUCCAUUCUGCACUCCACAUCAGUUCCAUUAACCAUGUGAUAAUUACUGUUUAGUCCACCAGGGCACUCUGACAGAGUUAGUAUCACAUAUGGGACCAGGUGUUGGAAUGGUGCAUCAGUCCCAGGUCCAACAAAGGGCGUGAUUAGCCUGGCCUGGAGGUCUCUCGAGCAGACAUCCUGUAAGCGCCCACAAAUCUUGCUUAUCUAGCUUACAUUCAAACCAAGGUGCCUGGAAAUUCGUCGCUUAGAGUCCUCGGCAGAGAAAAGAAUACACCGUCAGCAGGAGUUUACCAAGUAGCACUCUGGGGAACUCCUCGAAAAAACUGUUUGAUCUCGCACUUCUUUCUCUGCAUCCUCUGCAGCGCCUGUGCAGUGUUGAAAAGAAAAGACCCUUUAUCACUUUUGGACAUAUUGAAAUGGCCGGUUUCAACUUUGGUCAUAAAUUAAAUAAUAUGAAAGUUGUUACAAUAUUAGAUGAAAAAGAAAAGGAUUAAAGGGCGUUCGUGCCAAUACACA
Pocillopora damicornis (cauliflower coral) is the source of this 782-nucleotide long non-coding RNA. The record is from RefSeq and is a predicted model, not a curated record. Lineage: Eukaryota; Metazoa; Cnidaria; Anthozoa; Scleractinia; Pocilloporidae.